AUGAACGCUGACAGAAUGCUUAACACAUACAAGUCAACUUGAAUUUGGGUUUUUAACUUAGGUUUGGGUGGCGGACGGGUGAGUAACGCGUAAAGAACUUGCCUCACAGCUAGGGACAACAUUUGGAAACGAAUGCUAAUACCUAAUAUUAUGAUAAUAGGGCAUCCUAUAAUUAUGAAAGCUAUAAGCGCUGUGAGAGAGCUUUGCGUCCCAUUAGCUAGUUGGAGAGGUAACGGCUCACCAAGGCGAUGAUGGGUAGCCGGCCUGAGAGGGUGAUCGGCCACAAGGGGACUGAGACACGGCCCUUACUCCUACGGGAGGCAGCAGUGGGGAAUAUUGGACAAUGGACCGAGAGUCUGAUCCAGCAAUUCUGUGUGCACGAUGAAGUUUUUCGGAAUGUAAAGUGCUUUCAGUUGGGAAGAAACAAAUGACGGUACCAACAGAAGAAGUGACGGCUAAAUACGUG
This 466-nucleotide ribosomal RNA is filed under the name uncultured bacterium. RNAcentral describes it as "partial 16S ribosomal RNA". It matches the Rfam family "Bacterial small subunit ribosomal RNA", at positions 29 to 507 of the family's 1533-position model. The record is from RNAcentral.